Molecule: ribosomal RNA, 552 nt
Filed under: Datnioides polota (four-banded tigerfish)
Lineage: Eukaryota; Metazoa; Chordata; Actinopteri; Lobotiformes; Datnioididae
Description: partial 16S ribosomal RNA
Rfam family: Bacterial large subunit ribosomal RNA
Source: RNAcentral
UAAGAGGUCCCGCCUGCCCAGUGACUAUAUGUUAAAUGGCCGCGGUAUUUUGACCGUGCAAAGGUAGCGCAAUCACUUGUCUUUCAAAUGAAGACCUGUAUGAAUGGCAUCACGAGGGCUUAACUGUCUCCUUUUUCAAGUCAAUGAAAUUGAUCCCCCCGUGCAGAAGCGGGCAUAUAUACAUAAGACGAGAAGACCCUAUGGAGCUUUAGACACCAAGACAGACUACGUUAAACACUCCCGAACAAGGGACUAAACUUAGUAGCCCCCGUCCUAAUGUCUUUGGUUGGGGCGACCAUGGGGAAACAAAAAACCCCCACGUGGAUAGGAAGCACUACUAAACAAGACCUACUACAACCCAGAGCCCCCGCUCUAAUGACCAGAAAUUCUGACCAACAAGAUCCGGCAAAGCCGAUCAACGGACCGAGUUACCCUAGGGAUAACAGCGCAAUCCCCUUCCAGAGCCCAUAUCGACAAGGGGGUUUACGACCUCGAUGUUGGAUCAGGACAUCCUAAUGGUGCAGCCGCUAUUAAGGGUUCGUUUGUUCAACG